AGACAGCAGCCGCCGCGGUAAUACGAGGGGGGCAAGCGUUGUUCGGAAUUAUUGGGCGUAAAGGGCGCGUAGGCGGUUUGGCAAGUUUCGUGUGAAAUCUUCGGGCUCAACUCGAAGUCUGCACGGAAAACUGCCGGGCUUGAGUAUGGGAGAGGUGAGUGGAAUUUCCGGUGUAGCGGUGAAAUGCGUAGAUAUCGGAAGGAACACCUGUGGCGAAAGCGGCUCACUGGACCAUUACUGACGCUGAGGCGCGAAAGCUGGGGGAGCAAACAGGAUUAGAUACCCGCGUAGUCCCUGUCUCUUAUAC
This 307-nucleotide ribosomal RNA is filed under the name uncultured bacterium. RNAcentral describes it as "partial 16S ribosomal RNA". It matches the Rfam family "Bacterial small subunit ribosomal RNA", at positions 506 to 807 of the family's 1533-position model. The record is from RNAcentral.